RNAcentral lists this long non-coding RNA (946 nucleotides) under Anser cygnoides (Swan goose). RNAcentral describes it as "lncRNA (ENSACDG00005011200.1)". Lineage: Eukaryota; Metazoa; Chordata; Aves; Anseriformes; Anatidae. The record is from RNAcentral.
GGAAUGAAAAGCCAUAUGAGCUGAAAUGGAGAUUUUUUUUAAAAGUAAUUCUUUGAGUGUAAGCUAGAUUUACAAGAAAACUGUGGAUCACCAACAUUCAUAUGAAAGCAAUAUAGUAGACGUGUUUACUUGGAGUAUAUGUGUGCUCCAAGAGUCACCUUGUACAAAAAAGGAUGAGCUUUAAUUACAAUAAAACAUCUGUUCCUCUUAUAAAAUGGAAGUCAGCUUCUAACAAAUUGUGCUUUUCUCUCACAUUCUUUUGAUAUGCUUACAAUUUUACUAAGAAACGUUUUCAGAAAAAAAAAAAAUAGAGUUUUUGGAAACUUUUCAUUGCUGGUUCUCUUCUCCCCGUGCAGUUUAGCUGGGGGAUAGGCUGGGGACAGGCCUUUGCUGUGGUGACACAGGAAGCCUCCCCUGCUGCUCCCUCCUGAGCAGGGGGGGAAUCUCUUCCAUUGGCUUGGGUUGACCUGGCUAUGAUUCUUCCCCUCGGUUUUCUGAGAGACGUGCAUCGUUUUCUUCCAUUUCUGACAUUUGCUGACACCCACAGUAUUGGUACCUUGUAGCUUCAGAGGCUGCUGUUGCAUUUGGAUUUUGGAUGCAAAGCCAAAAAAUGUCCUCUGUUGUGAAUGCAUUUAGUGCUCAUGGACUGCCAGCUUCCCCUGAUGCGGGCAUUCUUCAUUUUUCACCGGUGAUGGAAAUAGUGUACGGCUUGCUUUUAAAACAGCCACCAGACGAGGAGCCACCUCCGCCCCAGUCUCACAGGCAGGUCUGCCGAUGUGUUUUCCUGCAACUAGUGGCAUCGGGUUCCCGCCUGGAGCACCCCAAGAUGGCAGCCGGUCUCUGGAGGACACCGGUCCAGAGGCCAGUAGAUUCAAGGAGCAUCAAAACAUGGAUGCUGGAAAGCAGAGACGGCUUUAUUUUCAGUUUGGCGCAGCUUUUUCAAUAG